This is a long non-coding RNA of Mustela lutreola (European mink), 626 nucleotides long. RefSeq lists it as uncharacterized. NCBI's taxonomy places the organism in Eukaryota, Metazoa, Chordata, Mammalia, Carnivora, Mustelidae. The record is from RefSeq and is a predicted model, not a curated record. The transcript has 4 exons.
CACCUGGCGGAGGCCGAUGGCCGGCGGGAACGACAAGGUGAAGUCCGGUCGCUCACGCGGGGGCAGGCGGUCUGACUGAGCCCCUCUCCCAUCUCUGCCGUAAAGCAGCGUCCUAGAGGCCUCGCGUUACAGUUUUAGAAGAAAACCAAAGAGUGUGAUCUACAGUGCGUUCUGCAGACCCCGGAGCUCAAGGUUAGACCAGGAGCAGACGCUGACCUCACACUUCUGAUAAACGAAUGAAGUCAGCACCUCAACCCGAGCUCAAAACAAGAUGCCAGAAGAAAAGAUCAAAGAGCUUAAAACGGAAUUCCAGAAAAAUCAAACGCAGGAACACUGGCGGUCAAGUUACUUAUAGAUUUCAGGACCUCUUCUACUGUCUCUACAGGCAGAUAGAGAGCCAUGCCCACCAUCAUUUCUAUCAGUGCCACUUCUACCCGGGGGAGUUCUUUGUCUUCCAAUUCCUUUACCUGGAAUAAAUGAUAAACCAUCAUCACCACCGUGGUCCUCUUUGUACCAGGACCUCCUCCUCCAUCACCACCUCUUUUGAGGCAGGAGAAACUUCUGCUCCAGAUCAUCAUUUGCUCUAAUUUAAAGGAAUGAAGCAGAAAUAAAUGUAUAAAACUAAA